GUCUUAAGUGUCAUCUGAGGAUAAUCAAUCGUUCAUUGAAAAAACGUCAAAAAACGGAACCAUGGCGGGGCCACCGUCGACUAAAAUAUAAUGCGAAAUCCAAGAAAUUGAAGCAGAUUUAGCUAUGUCGGACAUAGAUCUCUCGGAGGACGAUGACAUGAC
Non-coding RNA from Plutella xylostella (diamondback moth), 162 nucleotides. NCBI's taxonomy places the organism in Eukaryota, Metazoa, Arthropoda, Insecta, Lepidoptera, Plutellidae. The record is from RefSeq and is a predicted model, not a curated record.